Non-coding RNA from Erythranthe guttata (spotted monkey flower), 757 nucleotides. The record is from RefSeq and is a predicted model, not a curated record. Lineage: Eukaryota; Viridiplantae; Streptophyta; Magnoliopsida; Lamiales; Phrymaceae.
CUAAGCCUUAACAGCCAGAGAAAAAAUGCCAGGCUAACCUCAAGGAUAUGUCAUUUUGAGGUGCUAACUUAGAAACAUGUAUUCAUCAGUGUUACAAAUAUUGAUCUUCUGUACAAGAUUUCCAUUUUGUGAAUAAUUUUGUAGCUUCGAUUGACAAUAGUACUCGUCUGGUUGGAAUUCUGUACACUAACAUUCGAUUAAUUUGUCCUUGUGAUAUGGCAAUAACUUCUAUAUUAUACAUAAUUUGUCCUUGAACAGAUAAAACUAAUUGGAGAGGUACAAACCCCUCCGGAUGGCACUAAUACUACCUCAAUUGCAUCACUAAAUGCAUGCAAACAAUGAGCGGGAGCUGUAAGAAGUUAAAAAAGAAGAUAUGUAAACGGAAUACAUUUGUUGCGAUUACAACAUACAAUCGUGCAGGCACUUUUGGGGCAAAACUUGUAUCUGCCAUUAAUGCCGGAUUCAAACCUUAGUAGUUUGUGACACAACGAGAAGAAGUUGAAGGGAGCAUAAGGUGCAUCUCUAGAAUAUACUUUCGAAUAAAUUAAUGGCGGCUCGUGAUCAUGCAAUAAGUGCAUCUCCAAUUUUAUUUGCUACCAGAUUGUAUGUAUGAAAGAAACUGUCAAUAAUAAAACGGACUUUUGUUGUAUAUGCAAUGCUGAAAGGAAAUCUGUAAAGUGAUCGAACGGACUUUUGUUGUGUAAACGGACUUUUAUCUUUUAAUUGUAAAGGGACAUUAUUCCAGUCUUGUGGCCAA